RNAcentral lists this long non-coding RNA (538 nucleotides) under Felis catus (domestic cat). RNAcentral describes it as "lncRNA (ENSFCAG00000051637.1)". Lineage: Eukaryota; Metazoa; Chordata; Mammalia; Carnivora; Felidae. The record is from RNAcentral.
AUGUUUGUCAGUACUCACUGUUUUCUUGUCCCUUAUCUUUACAGAAUAUGGAUAUGCUACACUGAUAUAGUACAUCUUAGAUCAGUACAAUCCUUUCUUUUCUUUUCCUACUUAACCAAUUAUUAUAGAUCCAGGCUGCAUCAUACCGUUGGAGAAAACUCAGUGCAGACUGGGGGUACCAGGCACUUACGAUUUGCUGUGACAAAUAAAAGCUACAUGCAGAGGAUCCCAUCCUGUUGAGGUGUACAACUUAUUCUACCAGCUUUUUUUUUUUUUAAUUUUUUUUUCAACGUUUAUUUAUUUUUUUGGGACAGAGAGAGACAGAGCAUGAACGGGGGAGGGGCAGAGAGAGAGGGAGACACAGAAUCAGAAACAGGCUCCAGGCUCUGAGCCAUCAGCCCAGAGCCUGACGCGGGCUCGAACUCCCGGACUGUGAGAUCGUGACCUGGCUGAAGUCGGACGCUUAACUGACUGCACCACCCAGGCGCCCCUACCAGCUUUAAAUAAAGUGUGAUUAUUUUAGAUAUACUUCUAGAGU